GUGGGGAAUCUUGCGCAAUGGGCGAAAGCCUGACGCAGCCAUGCCGCGUGAAUGAUGAAGGUCUUAGGAUUGUAAAAUUCUUUCACCGGGGACGAUAAUGACGGUACCCGGAGAAGAAGCUCCGGCUAACUUCGUGCCAGCAGCCGCGGUAAUACGAAGGGGGCUAGCGUUGCUCGGAAUUACUGGGCGUAAAGGGCGCGUAGGCGGACAGCUUAGUCAGAGGUGAAAGCCCAGGGCUCAACCUUGGCAUGGCCUUUGAUACUGGCUGUCUUGAGUUUGGGAGAGGUGAGUGGAACUCCGAGUGUAGAGGUGAAAUUCGUAGAUAUUCGGAAGAACACCAGUGGCGAAGGCGACUCACUGGCCCAAUACUGACGCUGAGGCGCGAAAGCGUGGGGAGCAAACAGGAUUAGAAACCCUGGUAGUCC
This 425-nucleotide ribosomal RNA is filed under the name uncultured bacterium. RNAcentral's name for it is "bacterial SSU rRNA". It matches the Rfam family "Bacterial small subunit ribosomal RNA", at positions 354 to 796 of the family's 1533-position model. The record is from RNAcentral.